ACGAACCGUCCAAACGUUGUUCGGAAUCACUGGGCUUAAAGGGCGCGUAGGCGGGCUAUCGAGUCCGGGGUGAAAUCCUCCAGCUUAACUGGAGAACGGCCUCGGAUACUGAUGGUCUCGAGGGGGGUAGGGGCACGCGGAACUGUGGGUGGAGCGGUGAAAUGCGUUGAUAUCCAUAGGAACUCCGGUGGCGAAGGCGGCGUGCUGGACCUCUUCUGACGCUGAGGCGCGAAAGCCAGGGGAGCAAACGGGA
RNAcentral lists this ribosomal RNA (253 nucleotides) under uncultured prokaryote. RNAcentral describes it as "partial 16S ribosomal RNA". It matches the Rfam family "Bacterial small subunit ribosomal RNA", at positions 525 to 777 of the family's 1533-position model. The record is from RNAcentral.